RNAcentral lists this ribosomal RNA (2922 nucleotides) under Klebsiella pneumoniae. RNAcentral describes it as "23S ribosomal RNA". It matches the Rfam family "Bacterial large subunit ribosomal RNA". The record is from RNAcentral. Lineage: Bacteria; Pseudomonadati; Pseudomonadota; Gammaproteobacteria; Enterobacterales; Enterobacteriaceae.
GGGUUGUGAGGUUAAGCGACUAAGCGUACACGGUGGAUGCCCUGGCAGUCAGAGGCGAUGAAGGACGUGCUAAUCUGCGAAAAGCGUCGGUAAGGUGAUAUGAACCGUUACAGCCGGCGAUGUCCGAAUGGGGAAACCCAGUGCAAUUCGUUGCACUAUCGUUAACUGAAUACAUAGGUUAACGAGGCGAACCGGGGGAACUGAAACAUCUAAGUACCCCGAGGAAAAGAAAUCAACCGAGAUUCCCCAGUAGCGGCGAGCGAACGGGGAGCAGCCCAGAGUCUGAAUCAGCUUGUGUGUUAGUGGAACGGUCUGGAAAGUCCGACGGUACAGGGUGAUAGUCCCGUACACCAAAAUGCACAGGUUGUGAACUCGAAGAGUAGGGCGGGACACGUGGUAUCCUGUCUGAAUAUGGGGGGACCAUCCUCCAAGGCUAAAUACUCCUGACUGACCGAUAGUGAACCAGUACCGUGAGGGAAAGGCGAAAAGAACCCCGGCGAGGGGAGUGAAAAAGAACCUGAAACCGUGUACGUACAAGCAGUGGGAGCACCUUCGGGUGUGACUGCGUACCUUUUGUAUAAUGGGUCAGCGACUUAUAUUCUGUAGCAAGGUUAACCGUAUAGGGGAGCCGCAGGGAAACCGAGUCUUAACUGGGCGUUAAGUUGCAGGGUAUAGACCCGAAACCCGGUGAUCUAGCCAUGGGCAGGUUGAAGGUUGGGUAACACUAACUGGAGGACCGAACCGACUAAUGUUGAAAAAUUAGCGGAUGACUUGUGGCUGGGGGUGAAAGGCCAAUCAAACCGGGAGAUAGCUGGUUCUCCCCGAAAGCUAUUUAGGUAGCGCCUCGUGAACUCAUCUUCGGGGGUAGAGCACUGUUUCGGCUAGGGGGUCAUCCCGACUUACCAACCCGAUGCAAACUACGAAUACCGAAGAAUGUUAUCACGGGAGACACACGGCGGGUGCUAACGUCCGUCGUGAAGAGGGAAACAACCCAGACCGCCAGCUAAGGUCCCAAAGUCAUGGUUAAGUGGGAAACGAUGUGGGAAGGCACAGACAGCCAGGAUGUUGGCUUAGAAGCAGCCAUCAUUUAAAGAAAGCGUAAUAGCUCACUGGUCGAGUCGGCCUGCGCGGAAGAUGUAACGGGGCUAAACCAUGCACCGAAGCUGCGGCAGCGACACUAUGUGUUGUUGGGUAGGGGAGCGUUCUGUAAGCCUGCGAAGGUGUGCUGUGAGGCAUGCUGGAGGUAUCAGAAGUGCGAAUGCUGACAUAAGUAACGAUAAAGCGGGUGAAAAGCCCGCUCGCCGGAAGACCAAGGGUUCCUGUCCAACGUUAAUCGGGGCAGGGUGAGUCGACCCCUAAGGCGAGGCCGAAAGGCGUAGUCGAUGGGAAACAGGUUAAUAUUCCUGUACUUGGUGUUACUGCGAAGGGGGGACGGAGAAGGCUAUGUUAGCCGGGCGACGGUUGUCCCGGUUUAAGCAUGUAGGCUGGUUAUCCAGGCAAAUCCGGAUAAUCAAGGCUGAGGUGUGAUGACGAGGCACUACGGUGCUGAAGUAACAAAUGCCCUGCUUCCAGGAAAAGCCUCUAAGCAUCAGGUAACAUCAAAUCGUACCCCAAACCGACACAGGUGGUCAGGUAGAGAAUACCAAGGCGCUUGAGAGAACUCGGGUGAAGGAACUAGGCAAAAUGGUGCCGUAACUUCGGGAGAAGGCACGCUGGUGUGUAGGUGAAGUCCCUGCGGAUGGAGCUGAGACCAGUCGAAGAUACCAGCUGGCUGCAACUGUUUAUUAAAAACACAGCACUGUGCAAACACGAAAGUGGACGUAUACGGUGUGACGCCUGCCCGGUGCCGGAAGGUUAAUUGAUGGGGUUAUCCGUAAGGAGAAGCUCUUGAUCGAAGCCCCGGUAAACGGCGGCCGUAACUAUAACGGUCCUAAGGUAGCGAAAUUCCUUGUCGGGUAAGUUCCGACCUGCACGAAUGGCGUAAUGAUGGCCAGGCUGUCUCCACCCGAGACUCAGUGAAAUUGAACUCGCUGUGAAGAUGCAGUGUACCCGCGGCAAGACGGAAAGACCCCGUGAACCUUUACUAUAGCUUGACACUGAACAUUGAGCCUUGAUGUGUAGGAUAGGUGGGAGGCUUUGAAGCGUGGACGCCAGUCUGCGUGGAGCCAACCUUGAAAUACCACCCUUUAAUGUUUGAUGUUCUAACGUUGGCCCCUGACCGGGGUUGCGGACAGUGUCUGGUGGGUAGUUUGACUGGGGCGGUCUCCUCCCAAAGCGUAACGGAGGAGCACGAAGGUUAGCUAAUCCUGGUCGGACAUCAGGAGGUUAGUGCAAUGGCAUAAGCUAGCUUGACUGCGAGCGUGACGGCGCGAGCAGGUGCGAAAGCAGGUCAUAGUGAUCCGGUGGUUCUGAAUGGAAGGGCCAUCGCUCAACGGAUAAAAGGUACUCCGGGGAUAACAGGCUGAUACCGCCCAAGAGUUCAUAUCGACGGCGGUGUUUGGCACCUCGAUGUCGGCUCAUCACAUCCUGGGGCUGAAGUAGGUCCCAAGGGUAUGGCUGUUCGCCAUUUAAAGUGGUACGCGAGCUGGGUUUAGAACGUCGUGAGACAGUUCGGUCCCUAUCUGCCGUGGGCGCUGGAGAAUUGAGGGGGGCUGCUCCUAGUACGAGAGGACCGGAGUGGACGCAUCACUGGUGUUCGGGUUGUCAUGCCAAUGGCACUGCCCGGUAGCUAAAUGCGGAAGAGAUAAGUGCUGAAAGCAUCUAAGCACGAAACUUGCCCCGAGAUGAGUUCUCCCUGAGACUAUAAGUCUCCUGAAGGAACGUUAAAGACGAUGACGUUGAUAGGCCGGGUGUGUAAGCGCAGCGAUGCGUUGAGCUAACCGGUACUAAUGAACCGUGAGGCUUAACCUUACAACGCCGAAG